Molecule: transfer RNA, 75 nt
Filed under: Cellvibrionales bacterium
Lineage: Bacteria; Pseudomonadati; Pseudomonadota; Gammaproteobacteria; Cellvibrionales
Description: tRNA-Gln
Rfam family: tRNA
About the family: Transfer RNA (tRNA) molecules are approximately 80 nucleotides in length. Their secondary structure includes four short double-helical elements and three loops (D, anti-codon, and T loops). Further hydrogen bonds mediate the characteristic L-shaped molecular structure. tRNAs have two regions of fundamental functional importance: the anti-codon, which is responsible for specific mRNA codon recognition, and the 3' end, to which the tRNAs corresponding amino acid is attached (by aminoacyl-tRNA synthetases). tRNAs cope with the degeneracy of the genetic code in two manners: having more than one tRNA (with a specific anti-codon) for a particular amino acid; and 'wobble' base-pairing, i.e. permitting non-standard base-pairing at the 3rd anti-codon position.
Source: RNAcentral
AGGGGUAUCGCCAAGCGGUAAGGCAGCAGGUUUUGAUCCUUCCACUCGGAGGUUCGAAUCCUUCUACCCCUGCCA